GUGGGGAAUAUUGGGCAAUGGGCGAAAGCCUGACCCAGCAACGCCGCGUGAGGGAAGAAGGCCUUCGGGUUGUAAACCUCUGUCCUUGGUGACGAAGAAAGUGACGGUAGCCAAGGAGGAAGCCCCGGCUAACUACGUGCCAGCAGCCGCGGUAAUACGUAGGGGGCGAGCGUUGUCCGGAAUUACUGGGCGUAAAGGGUGCGUAGGUGGCCUUUUAAGUUGGAUGUGAAAUACCCGGGCUUAACUUGGGGGGUGCAUCUAAUACUGGGAGGCUAGAGUGCAGGAGAGGGAAGCGGAAUUCCUAGUGUAGCGGUGAAAUGCGUAGAUAUUAGGAGGAACACCAGUGGCGAAGGCGGCUUUCUGGACUGUAACUGACACUGAGGCACGAAAGCGUGGGGAGCAAACAGGAUUAGAUACCCCUGUAGUCC
RNAcentral lists this ribosomal RNA (428 nucleotides) under uncultured bacterium. Its description in RNAcentral is "partial 16S ribosomal RNA". It matches the Rfam family "Bacterial small subunit ribosomal RNA", at positions 354 to 796 of the family's 1533-position model. The record is from RNAcentral.